RNAcentral lists this ribosomal RNA (2810 nucleotides) under Neisseria gonorrhoeae. Its description in RNAcentral is "bacterial LSU rRNA". It matches the Rfam family "Bacterial large subunit ribosomal RNA". The record is from RNAcentral. Lineage: Bacteria; Pseudomonadati; Pseudomonadota; Betaproteobacteria; Neisseriales; Neisseriaceae.
AGUGCAUCAGGCGGAUGCCUUGGCGAUGAUAGGCGACGAAGGACGUGUAAGCCUGCGAAAAGCGCGGGGGAGCUGGCAAUAAAGCUAUGAUUCCGCGAUGUCCGAAUGGGGAAACCCACUGCAUUCUGUGCAGUAUCCUAAGUUGAAUACAUAGGCUUAGAGAAGCGAACCCGGAGAACUGAACCAUCUAAGUACCCGGAGGAAAAGAAAUCAACCGAGAUUCCGCAAGUAGUGGCGAGCGAACGCGGAGGAGCCUGUACGUAAUAACUGUCGAGAUAGAAGAACAAGCUGGGAAGCUUGACCAUAGCGGGUGACAGUCCCGUAUUCGAAAUCUCAACAGCGGUACUAAGCGUACGAAAAGUAGGGCGGGACACGUGAAAUCCUGUCUGAAUAUGGGGGGACCAUCCUCCAAGGCUAAAUACUCAUCAUCGACCGAUAGUGAACCAGUACCGUGAGGGAAAGGCGAAAAGAACCCCGGGAGGGGAGUGAAACAGAACCUGAAACCUGAUGCAUACAAACAGUGGGAGCGCCCUAGUGGUGUGACUGCGUACCUUUUGUAUAAUGGGUCAACGACUUACAUUCAGUAGCGAGCUUAACCGGAUAGGGGAGGCGUAGGGAAACCGAGUCUUAAUAGGGUGAUGAGUUGCUGGGUGUAGACCCGAAACCGAGUGAUCUAUCCAUGGCCAGGUUGAAGGUGCCGUAACAGGUACUGGAGGACCGAACCCACGCAUGUUGCAAAAUGCGGGGAUGAGCUGUGGGUAGGGGUGAAAGGCUAAACAAACUCGGAGAUAGCUGGUUCUCCCCGAAAACUAUUUAGGUAGUGCCUCGAGCAAGACACUGAUGGGGGUAAAGCACUGUUAUGGCUAGGGGGUUAUUGCAACUUACCAACCCAUGGCAAACUCAGAAUACCAUCAAGUGGUUCCUCGGGAGACAGACAGCGGGUGCUAACGUCCGUUGUCAAGAGGGAAACAACCCAGACCGCCGGCUAAGGUCCCAAAUGAUAGAUUAAGUGGUAAACGAAGUGGGAAGGCACAGACAGCCAGGAUGUUGGCUUAGAAGCAGCCAUCAUUUAAAGAAAGCGUAAUAGCUCACUGGUCGAGUCGUCCUGCGCGGAAGAUGUAACGGGGCUCAAAUCUAUAACCGAAGCUGCGGAUGCCGGUUUACCGGCAUGGUAGGGGAGCGUUCUGUAGGCUGAUGAAGGUGCAUUGUAAAGUGUGCUGGAGGUAUCAGAAGUGCGAAUGUUGACAUGAGUAGCGAUAAAGCGGGUGAAAAGCCCGCUCGCCGAAAGCCCAAGGUUUCCUACGCAACGUUCAUCGGCGUAGGGUAAGUCGGCCCCUAAGGCGAGGCAGAAAUGCGUAGUCGAUGGGAAACAGGUUAAUAUUCCUGUACUUGAUUCAAAUGCGAUGUGGGGACGGAGAAGGUUAGGUUGGCAAGCUGUUGGAAUAGCUUGUUUAAGCCGGUAGGUGGAAGACUUAGGCAAAUCCGGGUUUUCUUAACACCGAGAAGUGAUGACGAGUGUCUACGGACACGAAGCAACCGAUACCACGCUUCCAGGAAAAGCCACUAAGCUUCAGUUUGAAUCGAACCGUACCGCAAACCGACACAGGUGGGCAGGAUGAGAAUUCUAAGGCGCUUGAGAGAACUCGGGAGAAGGAACUCGGCAAAUUGAUACCGUAACUUCGGGAGAAGGUAUGCCCUCUAAGGUUAAGGACUUGCUCCGUAAGCCCCGGAGGGUCGCAGAGAAUAGGUGGCUGCGACUGUUUAUUAAAAACACAGCACUCUGCCAACACGAAAGUGGACGUAUAGGGUGUGACGCCUGCCCGGUGCCGGAAGGUUAAUUGAAGAUGUGCAAGCAUCGGAUCGAAGCCCCGGUAAACGGCGGCCGUAACUAUAACGGUCCUAAGGUAGCGAAAUUCCUUGUCGGGUAAGUUCCGACCCGCACGAAUGGCGUAACGAUGGCCACACUGUCUCCUCCCGAGACUCAGCGAAGUUGAAGUGGUUGUGAAGAUGCAAUCUACCCGCUGCUAGACGGAAAGACCCCGUGAACCUUUACUGUAGCUUUGCAUUGGACUUUGAAGUCACUUGUGUAGGAUAGGUGGGAGGCUUGGAAGCAGAGACGCCAGUCUCUGUGGAGUCGUCCUUGAAAUACCACCCUGGUGUCUUUGAGGUUCUAACCCAGACCCGUCAUCCGGGUCGGGGACCGUGCAUGGUAGGCAGUUUGACUGGGGCGGUCUCCUCCCAAAGCGUAACGGAGGAGUUCGAAGGUUACCUAGGUCCGGUCGGAAAUCGGACUGAUAGUGCAAUGGCAAAAGGUAGCUUAACUGCGAGACCGACAAGUCGGGCAGGUGCGAAAGCAGGACAUAGUGAUCCGGUGGUUCUGUAUGGAAGGGCCAUCGCUCAACGGAUAAAAGGUACUCCGGGGAUAACAGGCUGAUUCCGCCCAAGAGUUCAUAUCGACGGCGGAGUUUGGCACCUCGAUGUCGGCUCAUCACAUCCUGGGGCUGUAGUCGGUCCCAAGGGUAUGGCUGUUCGCCAUUUAAAGUGGUACGUGAGCUGGGUUUAAAACGUCGUGAGACAGUUUGGUCCCUAUCUGCAGUGGGCGUUGGAAGUUUGACGGGGGCUGCUCCUAGUACGAGAGGACCGGAGUGGACGAACCUCUGGUGUACCGGUUGUAACGCCAGUUGCAUAGCCGGGUAGCUAAGUUCGGAAGAGAUAAGCGCUGAAAGCAUCUAAGCGCGAAACUCGCCUGAAGAUGAGACUUCCCUUGCGGUUUAACCGCACUAAAGGGUCGUUCGAGACCAGGACGUUGA